This 50-nucleotide transfer RNA is filed under the name Rattus norvegicus (Norway rat). Lineage: Eukaryota; Metazoa; Chordata; Mammalia; Rodentia; Muridae. The record is from Rfam by way of RNAcentral.
GGGGAUUUAGCUCAGUGGUAGAGCGCUUGCCUGGCAAGUGCAAGUCCCUG